This 253-nucleotide ribosomal RNA is filed under the name uncultured bacterium. RNAcentral's name for it is "partial 16S ribosomal RNA". It matches the Rfam family "Bacterial small subunit ribosomal RNA", at positions 524 to 776 of the family's 1533-position model. The record is from RNAcentral.
AACGUAGGAGGCAAGCGUUAUUCGGAUUUAUUGGGCGUAAAGCGCGUGCAGGCGGUUUGGUAAGUUGGAUGUGAAAGCUCCUGGCUUAACUUGGAGAAGUCGUUCAAUACUAUCAAACUAGAGAAUGGGAGAGGGAGGUGGAAUUCCGGGUGUAGUGGUGAAAUGCGUAGAUAUCCGGAGGAACACCAGUGGCGAAAGCGGCCUCCUAGACCAUUUCUGACGCUAAGACGCGAAAGCUAGGGUAGCAAACGGG